RNAcentral lists this long non-coding RNA (329 nucleotides) under Lathyrus oleraceus (garden pea). RNAcentral's name for it is "Pisum sativum (pea) long non-coding RNA (PSAT_LNC038472)". The record is from RNAcentral. Lineage: Eukaryota; Viridiplantae; Streptophyta; Magnoliopsida; Fabales; Fabaceae.
AAAAUAUGUAUUUAAUAUAUAUCUAAUUUGUUUUAAUUAAGAUAGCAUGCGUAAACAUGUGAAAAAAAAUAUAAAUUAUAACCUCCUUAAUUAAUUAUAAAGAAACACUUUUUUUCAAGGCAAAGGAAAAUAUAUUAUAAAUAUUAGAGAAACACUAUGGUCAAAAGUACAAAGAAGUCUUGGAGAAAGAUAUAAGAAGUACCAAAAUCUAGGAAAAAAAAAAAAAACAAAAACCUAAGCUAACAUCAACCAAAGAACAACUAUGAUAAAAAAACCAUACCGAGAUAUCCGUCAAAAAACAAGGCUAGACUAACCAAGCAAGAACUUCU